Molecule: long non-coding RNA, 1935 nt
Filed under: Triticum aestivum (bread wheat)
Lineage: Eukaryota; Viridiplantae; Streptophyta; Magnoliopsida; Poales; Poaceae
Description: long non-coding RNA (TAES_LNC007616)
Source: RNAcentral
CAUAUGGGAAAAACAAAUCAAUGGCAAUAUUAGUUUGCUAUCUUUUGCAAAGUGAAGAAAUGACAACAUCGUAAAGCAUUGCAUCAGGCCUUACUGCGGCAUCUCAGAUACUGUCAAACAUCCGAAUAAACUUACCAUUCUACCUUCUCUAGACAGAGCAGAUACUUUUUAGAAUUAAACAGAGGCAUACCUGACAUUUUCAAUCCAAUGAACUCAAUGUAAAAGAGCAUAAUAGAUUCUAGAAUAACUCGCAGAGGUCUGAAAUUGAGAGCAAACCUUCAGCCGGAGCAGCAGUACAGCAGAGCUCGCUGGUCAGAGAGGAGAGUGCAACGCUUCUCACAACUGAACUAUCAUUAUCAUUAGCGGAAGGAAGUAAACAAAAUGUACGUAAACUGAAAAAGCAUAUACCUCAUGUUCCAGCUCAAGCCGAAUGUUCUUCUCUAGGCUCCUUUUCUCCAUCAUGUGAUAGGGUGUACUGCUGCAAUCUAUCUCAUCACCAGAAUCUUCAAAUCUGCUAGGAAUAAAAAAAUGGUAUAACUUAGCAUCAGAUGUGGUUAAUGAACUGUGAUGCAUCCCCGCAAAAAUAAACAAAAUAUGAUGUGCUUAGUUUUAAGUUGUUGCAUAAAAGAAUUCACAAAACGUUCAUUGCUCUUCUUUAAACAUAAGAUUAAAUUGUAAUAAAUCAGGUUUACUGAUGAUUGUCCUCUAAAAUUUCAUCUUAUGUGUUCACAAUGAAAAGCUAUUAACUGAUUGAAAGAUAAUCAGGUAGCCAAACACUCAUUUUCCAAAAGCAGUUCAACACGGGUAAGGUAUCAUAAUCGAAACCACCUCAAUGUCAAACAGAGCCUUAAAAAACUGGCAUGCCUAAACUCAUAAGGAAGACUUCUACAGUUCUGCAGAGGAAACAUUAAUGUUAUAGGCAUAGGUAGUGGCUCGAUGGUAACAUUAUCCUUUGCAAAUUCUCCAUAGGACUAAAGGCUAUCUUUCUACAAGCACACAGGCUUCCACCCAAAAUUCCAAAUUCCUUCCUUUUUUGUUGAGACAAAGGUUAUGAAAUGUCAGAUGGUUCAAUCCAUAUAGGAAACCACGGCACUUUGGUUUCAUAUAUAAGAAAAAUGCAACUGACUAUAGGAACCAAAUUGCAGGAACAAACUCUCACCUAGUACCAAAAAUGCAACUAACUGUAGGAACAGAAAAAAAACUGACUGUAGGAUUCAAGAUCAUUACAAGAGACAAAUCACAAGAGCGAAAAUUUGCAGCACAGGAUCAGCAAAAUUUGGUACCAACAGAGCCUACACUUACUCCUCCUUGUCUUCUUCUCGGUUUUAUAGCAGCCCCAGCUCAUCAAAUAGAGGCCACGCCAUUGAUUUAAGAAUCUUAUCAAAUUGUUGCAAAGGAUUAGCUAUCUAUAGCACAUACAAAACCAUUUUAUUAAUCAACCCAUAAAAGAACGCCGUUGCCGUACAGUAACUUCAAUAACAGAUUCAAAGCUAAUCCGGACCAAUUUGUAGCAGUAUAGAGUAUAGACCAUGUGUUGCUGUGUGCAUAUUACUUGUGCAAAUAGACACGCUUCUAGAAAUAAAAGAGAACUUGUGCAUUGCAGAAUGGAACAUGACGUGAACGCCAUUGCAUGAACGCCACCGUCUAAAACAAAACACACAUACUACAUCUUCUCCCAGCUAGGCGGAAAGGGCAAGAGGGUCAAAGGGGGGCGAGGGCGCAUACCUUGUAGCUAGUGACGGCGUGGUCCAAGGCAUCCACGAGCGCCGGGUCGUCCCACACAGAUCGUCGCCCUUCCGCAUCUCCUCUCUCUCUCCAAGUUCUCGUGGCUUCCUCCUCCGACCUGCUGCGCCUUCCCACCAACAAAGAGGACGAAAAAUGAAAGGCGCCUAUGCUCCAGUAGUACCCGCCGCCGCCACAAGUCGAGCUAGAGGU